CAACCUGCCCACCACUUGGGGAUAACCUUGCGAAAGUAAGACUAAUACCCAAUGAUAUCUCUAGAAGACAUCUGAAAGAGAUUAAAGAUUUAUCGGUGAUGGAUGGGGAUGCGUCUGAUUAGUUUGUUGGCGGGGUAACGGCCCACCAAGGCGACGAUCAGUAGGGGUUCUGAGAGGAAGGUCCCCCACAUUGGAACUGAGUCACGGUCCAAACUCCUACGGGAGGCAGCAGUGAGGAAUAUUGGUCAAUGGACGAGAGUCUGAACCAGCCAAGUAGCGUGCAGGAUGGCGGCCCUAUGGGUUGUAAACUGCUUUUAUAAGGGAAUAAAGUGAGUCUCGUGAGACUUUUUGCAUGUACCUCAUGAAUAAGGACCGGCUAAUUCCGUGCCAGCAGCCGCGGUAUACGGAAGGUCCGGGCGUUAUCCGGAUUUAUUGGGUUUAAAGGGAGCGUAGGCCGGAGAUUAAGCGUGUUGUGAAAUGUAGACGCUCAACGUCUGCACUGCAGCGCGAACUGGUUUCCUUGAGUACGCACAAAGUGGGCGGAAUUCGUGGUGUAGCGGUGAAAUGCUUAGAUAUCACGAAGAACUCCGAUUG
RNAcentral lists this ribosomal RNA (594 nucleotides) under uncultured Bacteroidota bacterium. Its description in RNAcentral is "bacterial SSU rRNA". It matches the Rfam family "Bacterial small subunit ribosomal RNA", at positions 122 to 715 of the family's 1533-position model. Lineage: Bacteria; Pseudomonadati; Bacteroidota. The record is from RNAcentral.